This 148-nucleotide ribosomal RNA is filed under the name Fusarium tricinctum. RNAcentral describes it as "5.8S rRNA". It matches the Rfam family "5.8S ribosomal RNA". From Rfam's summary of the family: 5.8S ribosomal RNA (5.8S rRNA) is a component of the large subunit of the eukaryotic ribosome. It is transcribed by RNA polymerase I as part of the 45S precursor that also contains 18S and 28S rRNA. The record is from RNAcentral. Lineage: Eukaryota; Fungi; Ascomycota; Sordariomycetes; Hypocreales; Nectriaceae.
AUAAAUCAAAACUUUCAACAACGGAUCUCUUGGUUCUGGCAUCGAUGAAGAACGCAGCAAAAUGCGAUAAGUAAUGUGAAUUGCAGAAUUCAGUGAAUCAUCGAAUCUUUGAACGCACAUUGCGCCCGCUGGUAUUCCGGCGGGCAUG